This 476-nucleotide ribosomal RNA is filed under the name Coeliccia flavicauda masakii. RNAcentral describes it as "partial 16S ribosomal RNA". It matches the Rfam family "Bacterial large subunit ribosomal RNA", at positions 1923 to 2610 of the family's 2925-position model. Lineage: Eukaryota; Metazoa; Arthropoda; Insecta; Odonata; Platycnemididae. The record is from RNAcentral.
UUUAACGGCCGCGGUAUUUUGACCGUGCAAAGGUAGCAUAAUCAUUAGCCUUUUAAUAGAAGGCUGGAAUGAAAGGUUCAACGAAUCAUUAGCUGUCUCAUUUAUAUAAUUUAAAACUUAAUUUUUAAGUUAAAAAGCUUAAAUUUUGUUGUAGGACGAGAAGACCCUAUAGAGCUUUACAUUUUAUUUUUUCAUAUUUUAUUGAUUUAUAAAUUUAUAUUAAAAUCUUAAUGUUUUGUUGGGGUGAUAAAAUUAUAUAAUAAACUUUUUUGUUUAAUAAACAAUUAUUUUUGAAUAAAUGAUCCAUUAUUAUUGAUUAAUAGAUUAAGUUACCUUAGGGAUAACAGCGUAAUCUUCUUUUGGAGUUCUAAUUUAUAAGAAGGCUUGCGACCUCGAUGUUGGAUUAAGAUAAUAAUUUGGUGUAGUAGUUAAAUUAAUAGGUCUGUUCGACCUUUAAAAUCUUACAUGAUCUGAGU